Molecule: ribosomal RNA, 424 nt
Filed under: uncultured prokaryote
Also listed under: 1 other name
Description: bacterial SSU rRNA
Rfam family: Bacterial small subunit ribosomal RNA
Source: RNAcentral
UGAGGAAUAUUGGUCAAUGGACGAGAGUCUGAACCAGCCAAGUAGCGUGAAGGAUGACUGCCCUAUGGGUUGUAAACUUCUUUUGUAAGGGAAUAAAGUGAGCCACGUGUGGCUUUUUGCAUGUACCUUACGAAUAAGGAUCAGCUAACUCCGUGCCAGCAGCCGCGGUAAUACGGGGGAUCCGAGCGUUAUCCGGAUGUAUUGGGUUUAAAGGGGGCGCAGGCGGGAGAUUAAGUCGGCGGUGAAAUUUUGCAGCUCAACUGUAAAAGUGCCUUCGAAACUUGUUUCCUUGAGUGUAGAUGAAGUAGGCGGAAUUUGUGGUGUAGCGGUGAAAUGCAUAGAUAUCACGAGGAACUCCGAUUGCGAAGGCAGCUUACUAAGCUACUACUGACGCUCAGGCACGAAGGCGUGGGGAUCAAACAGG